GUGUUCCUGGUGGUAUUUGAUUGCUGGGCUUUGAACAUCCCACAGCUAUUUGAUCCACCAUAUUGCAGGCAAUGUAGUGAAGAAAAGCAGCAAACUCUGAAACAGUGUGACUUAAGGAUACACAUAUGAUCAAUGGAAAAGAAUUGAGAGUCCGGAAGUAAAAUCGUGUCUGUGGUCAAGUGGUUUCAACAAGGGUAAAAGGACCAUUCAAUGGGGGGAAAGAAUAGUAUUUUCAACAAACGGUGACGGGACAACUGGAGAGCCAUAUGCAAAAAACCAAGCUGGGCCCUCACCCAACAUCAUCAAGUAACGUCAGUAACGCGAAAUGGAACAAAGAACUAAACAUAAAAGCUAAAACUAUAAAGUUCUCGGAAGGGAACCAGGAAUAGAUCUUCAUAAUGUCAGAUUUGACAAUGGAUUCUUAGCUGUGACAGCAAAAGCACAGGUAACAAAAGGAAAAAUGAGUUGGACUUCAUGACAAGGGCAAAACGUGUGUGCCUCAGAAGUCACUAUCAAGAAGGUGAGAAGACAAGCCCUAGAGCAGGGCCAAGUAUUUGCAAAUCAGGCCUCCAGAGAGGACUGGUAUCUACAAGAACUCUUACAGGAUUUCCCCGGUGGGCCAGUGGUUAGGAGUCCGCCUGCCAAUGCGGGGGAUGUGGGUUCAAUUGCUGGUCCGGAAGGACCCCAAUACCUUGGAACAACUGAGCCGGUGCUCCACGCCAAGAGAAGCCCCUGCAACGAGAAGCCCACACACUGCAACUAGAGGGUAACCCCUGCUUGCCAUAGUUAGACAAAACCCGUGCACAGCAACGAAGACUUGGCACAGCAAAAAUGUUUUUUAAACUCUUAUAACUCAUUAAUUGAAAGAGACAAGCCAGUUUAAAAAUGGAUAAAAGAUCUGAAUAGAAAUUUUUCCAAGGAAGAUAUAUAAUAGCUAAUAAACACAUAAAAAAGACACUUGACAUCCUUAGUCAUCAGGAAAUGCAAAUCAAAACUACAGUAAGAUAUCAUGUCGCACCCACUAGGAGAGUUAUCAUCUAAAACUCAGAUAACAAGUGUUGGUGAGGAUGUGAAGAGACUAAACCCUCAGACAUUUGUUCUGGGAACGUGAAAUGGUACAGCCACUUUGGAAAGUAGUCGAGCAUAAAGAGCUAAACAUAGUCACCAUGUGACCCAGCAGUUCCACUCCCAGUCUGUAGGGAAGUGACAUUGAAGCUGAGACCUCACAGAUGAGACGGAGCUGGCCUUGCAAGGAGGAGGGAGCAUACAGCUGCGGUACAGACAGGGCCCGGCAGCACAUGUGAAGGCAGGGGCCGUAAAAACUUACCUGGACAGAGCAGCUGGUUCCCUCAGGGAAGCGGUUGGAAUGCAGGUGCAAUGUCUGGCACUCCAGCAGCAACUUUGGAUCAUGAUAUUGUGGAGAACUUGGGACUGGAAAUCACGCACAGUUAACAACAAGAAAGAAGAAAGUUUGGGGCUAUCUACAUUGCCCAACUUCAAGGAGCACCCUUUAUGUUGUAUACUAUGGUAAAUAGAAUACAGAAUACAAUAAGAAAGAUAUCCCCCAAAUUUGCAAAGCAACACCCUGGGGCCUGGGCCACUGAUUCUAGAGUGCCAAAUCAGCCUCAACCGUCUACCUCUGAUCAUCAUGCAAAUAAGAGAGAAACAAACUACAGUGUGAGCAACUCCUAUUUGAGGAUUUCCUGUUAUCUGCAGCUGAAUCUACCCGUAACAUCCCAGGUCUAAAACUUAGCCCAUGUCCUCCUUUCCUCUGCCCAAAUCCAUUUGUGCCCAGGAUGAGCAACUAUUGAUUCCUUUCAGGAGAAGCCCCACUUUACCCUUGACGGUGACCCAACACGACAACACACAGAAGUGGCAUAGCCAGGAUUCCCCCAAACUCCACCAAAGUCUGACUAAGUCUCUCUUGGGCUUAUCCUGUGUUUGAUGAUCUAUGGCCAACU
Molecule: long non-coding RNA, 1961 nt
Organism: Bubalus bubalis (water buffalo)
Lineage: Eukaryota; Metazoa; Chordata; Mammalia; Artiodactyla; Bovidae
Exons: 3
Source: RefSeq, a predicted model, not a curated record